GGCGACGGUGGUUGUGGUUGUCCG
RNAcentral lists this non-coding RNA (24 nucleotides) under Arabidopsis thaliana (thale cress). Lineage: Eukaryota; Viridiplantae; Streptophyta; Magnoliopsida; Brassicales; Brassicaceae. The record is from RNAcentral.